Molecule: ribosomal RNA, 360 nt
Filed under: uncultured Luteibacter sp.
Lineage: Bacteria; Pseudomonadati; Pseudomonadota; Gammaproteobacteria; Lysobacterales; Rhodanobacteraceae
Description: bacterial SSU rRNA
Rfam family: Bacterial small subunit ribosomal RNA
Source: RNAcentral
AUCGGGACCUACCCAGACGUGGGGGAUAACGUAGGGAAACUUACGCUAAUACCGCAUACGUCCUACGGGAGAAAGCGGGGGAUCGCAAGACCUCGCGCGGUUGGAUGGACCGAUGUGCGAUUAGCUUGUUGGUGAGGUAACGGCUCACCAAGGCGACGAUCGCUAGCUGGUCUGAGAGGAUGAUCAGCCACACUGGGACUGAGACACGGCCCAGACUCCUACGGGAGGCAGCAGUGGGGAAUAUUGGUCAAUGGGCGCAAGCCUGAUCCAGCAAUGCCGCGUGUGUGAAGAAGCCCUCGGGUUGUAAAGCACUUUUAUCAGGAGCGAAAUCUGCAAGGUUAAUACCUUUGCAGUCUGACG